Molecule: ribosomal RNA, 610 nt
Filed under: uncultured bacterium
Lineage: Bacteria
Description: bacterial SSU rRNA
Rfam family: Bacterial small subunit ribosomal RNA
Source: RNAcentral
GGGUGAGUAACACGUGACCAAUCUACCCUUGAGUGGGGGAUAACCUCGGGAAACCGAGGCUAAUACCGCAUAAUAUCGAAAGAUCAAAGGAGUAAUCCGCUUUUGGAGGGGGUCGCGGCUGAUUAGCUAGUUGGUAGGGUAAUGGCCUACCAAGGCGAAGAUCGGUAUCCGGCCUGAGAGGGCGCACGGACACACUGGAACUGAAACACGGUCCAGACUCCUACGGGAGGCAGCAGUGGGGAAUUUUGCGCAAUGGGGGAAACCCUGACGCAGCAACGCCGCGUGGAGGAUGAAGCCCCUUGGGGUGUAAACUCCUUUCGACCGGGAAAAUAAUGAUGGUACCGGUGGAAGAAGCACCGGCUAACUCUGUGCCAGCAGCCGCGGUAAUACAGAGGGUGCGAGCGUUGUUCGGAAUUAUUGGGCGUAAAGGGCGCGUAGGCGGUACGGUAAGUCACCUGUGAAACCUCUGGGCUUAACUCAGAGCCUGCAGGCGAAACUGCCGUGCUGGAGGGUGGGAGAGGUGCGUGGAAUUCCCGGUGUAGUGGUGAAAUGCGUAGAUAUCGGGAGGAACACCUGUGGGCGAAGCGGCGCACUGGACCACUACUGACGC